RNAcentral lists this transfer RNA (85 nucleotides) under Felis catus (domestic cat). It matches the Rfam family "tRNA". Rfam says of the family: Transfer RNA (tRNA) molecules are approximately 80 nucleotides in length. Their secondary structure includes four short double-helical elements and three loops (D, anti-codon, and T loops). Lineage: Eukaryota; Metazoa; Chordata; Mammalia; Carnivora; Felidae. The record is from Rfam by way of RNAcentral. RNAcentral also lists the same sequence under 4 other names.
GCCUGGGUAGCUCAGUUGGUUAAGCAUCUGACUUUGGCUCAGGUCAUGAUCUCAUUGUCUGUGGGAUUGAUCCCCACGUCGGGCU